This 76-nucleotide transfer RNA is filed under the name Mus musculus (house mouse). RNAcentral describes it as "tRNA-Ala". The record is from RNAcentral. Lineage: Eukaryota; Metazoa; Chordata; Mammalia; Rodentia; Muridae.
GGGCUGAUAGUUCAGUUGGUAAAGUGUUUGCCUUGCAAGCAUGAGAUCCUAGGUUAAAUUCCCAGGACUCAGGUUA